UCCUCAACGGUCCCUUUACCUCAAACGGCUACUUCUCUCUCUAAAAUAACAACUUUCUAAUUUCAAACCCUUCCGAUCUCAACACACUCCUAAAGGAAACCCAUUCUCCUCUCAGGAAGACAACAGCCUUAUCGUUGCCGACGCAAUUCGCUCGCUAAGAACCCGAAAUUCAAGAGGCGCACACCAAGCUGGACCUGAUUAUUUUUAGGGGAGGGCGGCGUAAUUAAGGUACAGUUGCUAUAAUAUGUCUAAUCCUCAAACUGAUACACUUCUGCAAGUGGAGACGACUUGUGGAUCCCUUCUAUAUGAACUUCAGAUUAUUUGGGAUGAAGUUGGUGAGUCAGACACUGAUAGGGAUAAAUUGCUGCUUGAGAUUGAACAAGAAUGUCUAGAAGUUUACAGGAGAAAGGUAGAUCUUGCAAACCGGUCUAGAGCUCAGCUACGCCAGGCAAUAGCUGAUUCCGAAGCAGAAUUAGCAGCCAUCUGUUCUACUAUGGGCGAGCGACCUGUACAUAUUAGGCAGUCUGAUAAAAAUGCUGGAAGCUUGAAGGAAGAGCUCAGAAGAACUCUUCCACAAUUGGAGGAGAUGCGGAAAAGGAAAUCUGACAGAAGAAAUCAAUUCCUAGAAGUUCAAGAGCAGAUACAGGACAUCUCAAGGGAGAUCUAUGGAACCACGGAGUAUAUUUCAUCCAAGAAGGUAGCGGAUGAAAGUGAUUUGUCUUUGAGAAAACUUGAAGAAUUACACAGAGAGUUGCAUGAACUUCAGAAGGAGAAGAGUGAUCGCCUGAGGCAGGUUCAGGAACAUGUAUCUACUGUGAACUCGCUAUGCUCAGUGCUUGGUGUGGAUUCCAAGAAAAUAGUAACUGAAGUUCAUCCAAGUUUAGGUGAUUCUGUGGGGUCCAAGAAUAUAAGUAAUAAUACAAUCGACCAGUUGGCUGCUGCAAUACGAAAGUUGCGAGAGGUUAAACUACAGAGAAUGCAGAGGCUCCAAGAUCUUGCAAGUACCAUGUUGGAGCUCUGGAAUUUGAUGGAUACACCAAUCGAAGAACAACAGAUGUUUCAGACUGUUACCUGUAAUAUAGCUGCUUCAGAACAUGAAAUAACUGAACCAAACACUCUCUCUGUGGACUUCAUAAAUUAUGUUGAGGCAGAAGUAUCUCGGUUGGAAGAGUUAAAGUCAAGCAAAAUGAAAGAGCUUGUUCUGAAGAAGAGGUCUGAACUAGAGGAGUUCUGUAGAAAGACACAUAUGGUUCCAGAAGUAGAUAGCACAAUGGAUGAUGCCAUUGAAGCAAUAGAGUCAGGAGUUGUAGACCCUGCUUGUGUCCUUGAGCAAAUUGAGCUUCAGAUUGCUAAGGUGAAAGAGGAAGCUUUUAGCAGGAAAGAAAUACUUGAAAAGAUUGAGAAAUGGUUGGCUGCAUGUGAUGAGGAGAGUUGGCUUGAAGAGUACAAUAGGGAUGAGAAUCGAUACAAUGCUGGAAGAGGUGCUCAUCUUACUCUUAAGCGUGCCGAGAAAGCUCGCUCUUUGGUUAAUAAGCUUCCAGCAAUGGUUGAUGCAUUGGCUUCGAAAACCAUCGCAUGGGAGAAGGAGAGAGGCUUUGAGUUUACAUAUGAUGGUAUCCGUCUCUUAUCUAUGCUUGAAGAGUAUACUUUACUACGGCAAGAGAAAGAGCAAGAACGCCGCAGGCAACGGGACCAGAAGAAACUCCAAGAACAGCUGAUUGCAGAACAAGAGGUACUUUAUGGGUCAAAACCCAGCCCUUUGAAGACUCAGAGUGUAAAAAAAGCUCCUAGAAUGUCAACUGGAGGUGCAAGCAACAGAAGAGUUUCAGUUGGAGGAACAAUGAUCCACACUCCCAAACCUGAUCUGCUUCAAUCUGUGAAAGCAAGUCCUCACUCACGUCCCAUCAGGAAGAGUGAUCGGGUGCACCUAAAUGAUCAACUGAAUCCUCAAGAUGAUGGCUCUUCCGUUUUAUCAGCUGGCUCGGACAUCGCUGAGUUGUAGAAGAACUCUUGAUGGCUAUCGGGGGUAAGGGCGAAAAUGAAUUAAGUGGAUGAUUUAGGCUUAUCCUUUGUUUGGUCUUGAGGGAAGAAGUCAGGGCCACAUUAGUGGUAGAUUGUUCUGGUAGGAGAGGCUUGGAUAUUGCUGGUCUCCCUGUAAAAAAACACUCAUUUGGUAAUGGAAACGUCCGUGAAGGAGAGUCACCCGUGAUGCGAAUACCAUUCUCACCCAUCUCUUCCACAGCAUCAUCAAAGGCCAACAUGACAAACUUUUCGGAUGAGCUGAAUGCAAGACAUAGUGAGACAUUGAAGAAUACGCUGCCAACUAACAACAUGCAAUUUACUAGUCCCUCCAAGACAGCUUCUAUGGCAACCGAAGAGAAUAAAACGCCAAAGGCACUGCCAAUUUUUGUCCCUACAACACCUUCAACAGUGUCAGUUCCAAUGCAGACAGCUACAACUCCAGCUCCUCAACCAGUCCCUUUUGGCAUUCACGCAGUUGAAGAGAUUCUUCAAGAGAUUGAAUAUUCAUUCGAGGAAAUGAGAGCUGGUUUUGUGCUUUCCAAAACACAUAUAAAGCCCAUGAUACAAGUAUGAUAAGCUUUAGGUGGACCUGAAUUGAUUUGUUUUAGCUUGCUUUUAAUCCGAUCAACAGUGUCAGACCAUGAAUUUUUGUUUUAUGGUGUUUGUGAUGGCAAAGUCAAUUGUAAUUGGCUUUACUGACUUGUGUACAUUGCCUACGAAUACUGAAUGUGAACUAGGAUGUUGAGCUUGUCCUUCCUGGUGUGAUCUCUCAAUGUUAAAUGUGCCUAAAGUUUCCAUGUUUUUUUCUGGGGACCGGCUUGUCUGUUCAGGUGGAGUGUGAUCUUGUGUGAGAACACUUUUGAAGGAUUACAUCAUUUGGGGACUUGUUCCUGUUGUGGUUUGUCCAGAAUUGACUUCCUGAUUUUUUAUUGUGUC
RNA transcript from Juglans regia (Persian walnut), 2958 nucleotides. It is a transcript of the gene named 65-kDa microtubule-associated protein 3-like, with no coding region annotated. The record is from RefSeq and is a predicted model, not a curated record. NCBI's taxonomy places the organism in Eukaryota, Viridiplantae, Streptophyta, Magnoliopsida, Fagales, Juglandaceae. The transcript has 15 exons.